Molecule: ribosomal RNA, 345 nt
Filed under: Triticum aestivum (bread wheat)
Lineage: Eukaryota; Viridiplantae; Streptophyta; Magnoliopsida; Poales; Poaceae
Description: partial small subunit ribosomal RNA
Source: RNAcentral
AUGGAUUUAUUGAGGCUUCACAACUUUCUAAGCCGAUUCCGCAACUGGAUUUCCGCUCUCCUUUCCACGGCCUCCUCCAGAGUCCUUCUGAACGGUGUUGCGGGCAACCCAAUCAUGCAUGGAUGUGGUCUUCGUCAGGGGGAUCCUCUCUCCCCCCUCAUUUUCGUCCUAGCCAUUGACCCGCUCCAUCACAUCCUCGCAAAGGCUACCGAUCAAGGCAAUUUGCACCCUCUUCGUGGCCACCCAAUUCGGGCAUCUCUUUAUGUGGAUGAUGCGGCCAUUUUUGUGAAGGAAAUAUGCCCUAGAGGCAAUAAUAAAGUUAUUAUUUAUUUCCUUAUAUCAUGA